GACGAACGCUGGCGGCGUGCUUAACACAUGCCAGUCGAACGGAAAGGCCCUGCUUUUGUGGGGUGCUCGAGUGGCGAACGGAUGAGUAACACGUGAGUAACCUGCCCUUGACUUUGGGAUAACUUCAGGAAACUGGGGCUAAUACCGGAUAGGAGCUCCUGCUGCAUGGUGGGGGUUGGAAAGUUUCGGCGGUUGGGGAUGGACUCGCGGCUUAUCAGCUUGUUGGUGGGGUAGUGGCUUACCAAGGCUUUGACGGGUAGCCGGCCUGAGAGGGUGACCGGCCACAUUGGGACUGAGAUACGGCCCAGACUCCUACGGGAGGCAGCAGUGGGGAAUAUUGCACAAUGGGCGGAAGCCUGAUGCAGCAACGCCGCGUGCGGGAUGACGGCCUUCGGGUGGUAAACCGCUUUCGCCUGUGACGAAGCGUGAGUGACGGUAAUGGGUAAAGAAGCACCGGCUAACUACGU
Molecule: ribosomal RNA, 467 nt
Filed under: uncultured bacterium
Lineage: Bacteria
Description: partial 16S ribosomal RNA
Rfam family: Bacterial small subunit ribosomal RNA
Source: RNAcentral